CUCCCUGAGACUUAAAGUCUCCUGAAGGAACGUUGAAGACGACGACGUUGAUAGGCCGGGUGUGUAAGCGCAGCGAUGCGUUGAGCUAACCGGUACUAAUGAACCGUGAGGCUUAACCUU
RNAcentral lists this ribosomal RNA (120 nucleotides) under Salmonella enterica subsp. enterica serovar Senftenberg. RNAcentral's name for it is "partial 23S ribosomal RNA". It matches the Rfam family "Bacterial large subunit ribosomal RNA", at positions 2811 to 2925 of the family's 2925-position model. The record is from RNAcentral. RNAcentral also lists the same sequence under 2 other names. Lineage: Bacteria; Pseudomonadati; Pseudomonadota; Gammaproteobacteria; Enterobacterales; Enterobacteriaceae.